GCUUCGGUUGCAUGGUGGUUAGAGCAUCCGUCUCGGAUGCGGUAAUUCGUGGGUUCGAAUCCCAGCCGAGUCA
Potamilus streckersoni is the source of this 73-nucleotide non-coding RNA. The record is from the annotation of a GenBank genome assembly. NCBI's taxonomy places the organism in Eukaryota, Metazoa, Mollusca, Bivalvia, Unionida, Unionidae.